GAGUUUGAUCGUGGCUCAGGAUGAACGCUGGCGGCGUGCCUAAUACAUGCAAGUCGAGCGAACGGACGAGAAGCUUGCUUCUCUGAUGUUAGCGGCGGACGGGUGAGUAACACGUGGAUAACCUACCUAUAAGACUGGGAUAACUUCGGGAAACCGGAGCUAAUACCGGAUAAUAUUUUGAACCGCAUGGUCCAAAAGUGAAAGACGGUCUUGCUGUCACUUAUAGAUGGAUCCGCGCUGCAUUAGCUAGUUGGUAAGGUAACGGCUUACCAAGGCAACGAUGCAUAGCCGACCUGAGAGGGUGAUCGGCCACACUGGAACUGAGACACGGUCCAGACUCCUACGGGAGGCAGCAGUAGGGAAUCUUACCGCAAUGGGCGAAAAGCCUGACGGAGCAACGCCGCGUGAGUGAUGAAGGUCUUCGGAUCGUAAAACUCUGUUAUUAGGGAAGACAUAUGUGUAAGUAACUGUGCACAUCUUGACGGUACCUAA
RNAcentral lists this ribosomal RNA (492 nucleotides) under uncultured microorganism. Its description in RNAcentral is "bacterial SSU rRNA". It matches the Rfam family "Bacterial small subunit ribosomal RNA", at positions 9 to 482 of the family's 1533-position model. The record is from RNAcentral.